GGCGGACGGGUGAGUAACGCGUAAAGAACUUGCCCUUUAGACUGGGAUAACAGAGGGAAACUUCUGAUAAUACUGGAUAAGUUAGUAUAUCGCAUGAUAUGCAAAAUGAAAGCUACGGCACUAAAGGAGAGCUUUGCGUCCUAUUAGCUAGUUGGUAAGGUAAGAGCUUACCAAGGCGAUGAUAGGUAGCCGGCCUGAGAGGGUGGACGGCCACAAGGGGACUGAGAUACGGCCCUUACUCCUACGGGAGGCAGCAGCC
RNAcentral lists this ribosomal RNA (259 nucleotides) under uncultured Leptotrichia sp. RNAcentral describes it as "partial 16S ribosomal RNA". It matches the Rfam family "Bacterial small subunit ribosomal RNA", at positions 97 to 355 of the family's 1533-position model. Lineage: Bacteria; Fusobacteriati; Fusobacteriota; Fusobacteriia; Fusobacteriales; Leptotrichiaceae. The record is from RNAcentral.